Xyrichtys novacula (pearly razorfish) is the source of this 680-nucleotide non-coding RNA. The record is from the annotation of a GenBank genome assembly. NCBI's taxonomy places the organism in Eukaryota, Metazoa, Chordata, Actinopteri, Labriformes, Labridae.
CAGCUCUAACCAGCCCAGAGAUAAGACAAAACACCCGAAGCAUUGAUACACUUAACAGCUGCGAUGUCAGAGAUGCUGAGGACCUCGUGAAGCUGCUGCAUCCUUUGAAGACAGCCACCACAGUGUUGUGUGAGGAGAAGAGUCCCACAGUGUCUCUCAUUGUGCCACUGAAGAGCAUGGUUGAACAGAACAUGACACCAAAUGAUGGAGAUUCCACCACUGUGACCAACACAAAGACUGCAAUCCUCACGAAUAUUGCAAACAGAUACAGUGGGGAUGCCUUCAACUAUCUGCUGGAGUGCACGGUACUGGACCCAAGGUUCCGGACUCUACCUCAGCUAGACCAUGAGCAGUGUCAGGCCGUCUUCCUGAGGGUACAGAACAAGGCAGAACAGUUCCUGCAAAAACAGGUAUAUAUAUCACUUUAAAGUGUAUUGUGUAUGUUUGUGAACUAAACAUUUUUAAGAGAUUGAUGAAGUGUGUGUGUUAGAAACAUGAGAGCAUCACUUGUGUGUGUGUGUGUGUGUGUGUGUGUGGGGGGGGGGGGGGGGGGGGGCUCUUAGCUGCUUAUCAAAUUUAAUGCCAGUGUUUCUUCUGUUUAAAGACCACAGCUGAGGAGAGGGAAGAAGGGGCAGCAGGUGGAGCUCACUGUCCCACACAUGGUGGAGAGGAGGCUGUGA